GCUGAGCAUGGUGGCGCAUGCCUGUAAUCCAAUCCCAGUGGCUCGGGAGGCUGAGGCAGGAGGAUCACCAGUUCAAAGCCAGCCUCAGCAAAAGCGAGGCACUAAACAAGUCAGUGAGACCCUGUCUCUA
Molecule: small RNA, 130 nt
Filed under: Marmota monax (woodchuck)
Lineage: Eukaryota; Metazoa; Chordata; Mammalia; Rodentia; Sciuridae
Source: RNAcentral